UACGGAGGGGGCUAGCGUUGUUCGGAAUUACUGGGCGUAAAGCGCACGUAGGCGGCUUUACAAGUCAGGGGUGAAAGCCCGCGGCUCAACCGCGGAAUUGCCCUUGAGACUGUAUCGCUUGAACACGGGAGAGGUGAGUGGAAUUCCGAGUGUAGAGGUGAAAUUCGUAGAUAUUCGGAAGAACACCAGUGGCGAAGGCGACUUACUGGACACAUAUUGACGCUGAGGUGCGAAAGCGUGGGGAGCAAACAGG
This 253-nucleotide ribosomal RNA is filed under the name uncultured bacterium. RNAcentral's name for it is "partial 16S ribosomal RNA". It matches the Rfam family "Bacterial small subunit ribosomal RNA", at positions 524 to 776 of the family's 1533-position model. The record is from RNAcentral.